This 401-nucleotide unclassified non-coding RNA is filed under the name soil metagenome. RNAcentral describes it as "partial contains 5.8S ribosomal RNA, internal transcribed spacer 2, and large subunit ribosomal RNA". The stretch from base 1 to 121 matches the Rfam family "5.8S ribosomal RNA", at positions 35 to 154 of the family's 154-position model. The record is from RNAcentral.
GACGAAGAACGCAGCGAAAUGCGAUAAGUAAUGUGAAUUGCAGAAUUCAGUGAAUCAUCGAAUCUUUGAACGCACCUUGCGCCCUUUGGCCAUUCCGAAGGGCAUGCCUGUUUGAGUAUCAUGAACACCUCAACUCUCAUGGCUCGCCAUGAUGAGCUUGGAUUUGGGGGUCUUGCUGGCCUGUGGUCGGCUCCUCUCAAAUGGAUCAGCUUGCCAGUGUUUGGUGGCAUCACAGGUGUGAUAACUAUCUGCGCUUGUGGUUUUCCAUCAGAUAACCUUCAGUGAUGGAGGUUCGCUGGAGCUCAUAAACGUCUCCCCUAAGCGGGGACAGCCCUUUGAAUGUUUGAUCUCAAAUCAGGUAGGACUACCCGCUGAACUUAAGCAUAUCAAUAAGCGGAGGA